UCCGGGAGCUCCGCUGGCCUCGGGACCUCCCUAUUUAACCCCCUUCCUUACCGACAGCUCCCUCCCGGUGCCUCUUCGUUCCUCCGCGUUGAGCCCCGGCGGCUCAUCCGGUCUCGCCCAUUCCAUCGCAGGCCAUUACAGGAUGAGAACAGCUGUCCUGACUCUCAGAGAAGAGCCUGGAAUAUCUGCAGUGCAUAGUUGCAACCCCGAGAGAAGAGAAUACAAAGUAAUAAUAAAUUCAAGGCUGACCUCAGGAGUAUGCUAGAGCAGGUGGAAGAGGAAGGGAGAAGCCUGAGGAGACUUCUCUAAAAGUCUGACCAGCAGAUGAGCUGCUUCUGUACAGUCCUAUUGCUGUGUAUAAAAACGCUCGCUCGUGGUGACUUCUCCAGGGUCAAGCUGUUCAGGUGUGAACAGAAUCUUCCCUGGUGGGAGGAGGCUCUGGCCAUGCAGUUGUAAUGGCAGUAGCAGCAAUCACCAGACUUGUCCCUGUACUUUCAUGGCUUUGGUAACACCCUGGUCUGCCUGAGGAGAUGAAUCUUCACAAGCAUGAGGGCAGAAUACAUGUAAGAGUUAUGUCAGUCAACUACAGGAUGCUGAGUUCUGGCAAGUGAGCCAAGACUGCUGCUGAAGCCACCAACGUUGAGCUGAAGGCUGUUUUCACCAGGAAGCCUCAGAAUCUGAAGUUCAUUUGUGACAGAAAGCAAAUUGAAACUCCUUCCCCUUGGCACUCAUGGCUGCCUGUGCUGUGGACCUAUUUCUGCAGUUCAGCAGUGUGUUGGUUUUGCAUGGCCUGGUUCUUGGUAGCUGGGGGGCCACAGAGGUGGCUUCUGUGAGAAGCUGCUGGAAGCUUCCACCAUGUCCAGCAGAGCCAGUCCCUGAUGGCUCUGAGGAUGGACAUGCCACUGGCCAAGGGUGGGCCAGCUGGAGAUGUUGGUAAUGCCUCUGUGAUAACAGAUUUAAGAAGAAAAUCAGAACAAAGGGGGCCCACUGUUAGUUCCAGGCAGAGAAGAGGACGAAGUGAGAAUAUGUGAGGGAAACAACGUGGAGACACCAAGGUCAGCAGAGAAAGAGGGGCAGGAGGUUCUCCAGGCACCAGAGCUGAGAUUCCUCUGCAGCCGUGGUGAGACCACAG
This is a non-coding RNA of Cyanistes caeruleus (blue tit), 1132 nucleotides long. Lineage: Eukaryota; Metazoa; Chordata; Aves; Passeriformes; Paridae. The record is from RefSeq and is a predicted model, not a curated record.